CCUACGGGAGGCAGCAGGGGGGAAUAUUGCACAAUGGGGGGAACCCUGAUGCAGCGACGCCGCGUGGGUGAGGAAGGACUUCGGUAUGGAAAGCCCUAGCAGCAGGGAAGAAAAUGACGGUAACUGACUAAGAAGCCCCGGCUAACUACGUGCCAGCAGCCGCGGUAAUACGUAGGGGGCAAGCGUUAUCCGGAUUGACUGGGUGUAAAGGGAGCGUAGACGGCGUGCCAAGUCUGGUGUGAAAGGCCGGGGCUCAACCCCGGGACUGCAUUGGAAACUGGCAUGCUGGAGUGCCGGAGGGGCCAGCGGCAUUCCUCGUGUAGCGGUGACAUGCGUAGAUAUUAGGCGGAACACCGGUGGCGCUGGCGGCUUGCUGGACGGUAACUGCCGUUGCGGCUCGAAAGCGUGGGGAGCAAACAGGAUUAGAUACCCCUGUAGUC
This 440-nucleotide ribosomal RNA is filed under the name uncultured bacterium. RNAcentral describes it as "partial 16S ribosomal RNA". It matches the Rfam family "Bacterial small subunit ribosomal RNA", at positions 338 to 795 of the family's 1533-position model. The record is from RNAcentral.